Molecule: ribosomal RNA, 900 nt
Filed under: uncultured bacterium
Lineage: Bacteria
Description: bacterial SSU rRNA
Rfam family: Bacterial small subunit ribosomal RNA
Source: RNAcentral
GCGGGCCGCGUCGUACCAUGCAGUCGAGGGGAACGGCUUUCUUGCUUGCACUCUUUGGACGUCCACCGUGCGCACGGGUGAGUACGCGUCUCCUCCUUCCCGUGACUGAGGGAUAACCUGCCUAAAGGCACACUAAUACCUUAUGGUCUUCACUGACGAUAUCAGAUGUGAAGUAAAGAUUUAUCGGUUAUGGAUGGGGAUGCGUCUGAUUAGCUUGUUGGUAGGGUAACGGCCCUCCAAGGCGGGUCUGACAGGGGGUUCUGACAGGAAGGUCCCCCUAUUGGAACUGACACACGGUCCAAACUCCUACGGAAGGCAUUGUUGAAGAAUAUUGGUCAAUGGGCGACAGCCUGAACCGUGCAAGUAAGGUGCAGGAUGACGGCCCUAUGGGUUGUAAACUGCUUUUGUCUGGGAAUAAUGCCCAUCCCGUGUGAUUGUUUGUCGGUACCUUACGAAUAAGGACCGGUUAAUUCCGUGCCACCGGCCGCCGUAAUACGGAAGGUCCGGGCGUUAUCCCGAUUUAUUGGGUUUAAAGGGAGCGUAGGCUGGAUAUUAUGUGUGUUGCCUGAUGUUAACUUUCAACUUCUGAUUUGUACUGCAUACUGUAUAUCCUUGAGAGAGGACAGUGUAAUGCGGAAUUCGUCGUGUAACGGCGAAAUGAUUAGAUAUGACUAACGAACUCCGAUUGCAGAAGGCUGCUGACAGUAACGACACCUGACGCUGAAACUCGGAGGUGCGGGUAUGGAAAAAGAUAUCAUAUACCCUGGUACCCCACACAGUAACCACUGGAUGCCCGCUGCUGGUACGUGGUAUCAGCGCAUAUAAGAAAGUAUUAAGCAUCCCCUCUGGAGUAGUACUCCCGGCAACGGUGAAUACUCAAAGGUAAUGAGAGUACUCUCU